UUUCCGUAGGUGAACCUGCGGAAGGAUCAUUACUGAGUUAAAGAAAAAAAGGGGGAAGGGGUUUUGUAUUGAACACCUUUUCUUUUUUUUUUUCCCUUCUCUUCACCCUUUGUUAUUAAUUUCUAAGUUGCUUUGGUAGGUCAAGAUUCAAUUCUACCCUACCAAGGGACCUUUAUUAAACCCUUUGUUAUCCAACAAUUAGGAUGUCUUUUGUCUGAUUCUUAUGACUUUGAAUAAAGUACAUAAAACUUUCAACAACGGAUCUCUUGGUUCUGGCAUCGAUGAAGAACGCAGC
Molecule: unclassified non-coding RNA, 295 nt
Filed under: uncultured fungus
Lineage: Eukaryota; Fungi
Description: sequence contains ITS1, 5.8S rRNA gene
Rfam family: 5.8S ribosomal RNA (bases 247-295)
Source: RNAcentral